AUACGAAGGGCCCAAGCGUUAUUCGGAAUCACUGGGCGUAAAGAGUACGUAGGCGGUUUGGUAAGUCAGGUGUGAAAUCCCGAAGCUCAACUUCGGAACUGCAUCCGAUACUGCCAGACUAGAGUAAUGGAGAGGCAGGUGGAAUUCUCGGUGUAGCAGUGAAAUGCGUGGAUAUCGAGAGGAAGACCAAUGGCGAAGGCAGCCUGCUGGACAUUUACUGACGCUGAGGUACGAAGGCUAGGGGAGCGAAAGGGAUUAGAUACCCCGGUAGUCC
Molecule: ribosomal RNA, 274 nt
Filed under: uncultured bacterium
Lineage: Bacteria
Description: partial 16S ribosomal RNA
Rfam family: Bacterial small subunit ribosomal RNA
Source: RNAcentral